Molecule: ribosomal RNA, 449 nt
Filed under: uncultured bacterium
Lineage: Bacteria
Description: SSU rRNA
Rfam family: Bacterial small subunit ribosomal RNA
Source: RNAcentral
AGGAUGAACGCUGGCGGUGUGCCUAAUACAUGCAAGUCGAACGGGAUCUUCGGAUCUAGUGGCGAACGGGUGAGUAACACGUUGGUACCUACCCCUAAGUGGGGAAUAACUGCCCGAAAGGGUGGCUAAUACCGCAUAAUCCCGCAAGGGUAAAGCAGUAAUGCGCUUAGGGAGGGGCCUGCGUCUGAUUAGCUAGUUGGUAGGGUAAUGGCCUACCAAGGCGACGAUCAGUAGCUGGAUCGAGAGGUUGACCAGCCACACUGGGACUGAGAUACGGCCCAGACUCCUACGGGAGGCAGCAGUAAGGAAUCUUCCACAAUGGACGAAAGUCUGAUGGAGCAACACCGCGUGCAGGAUGACGGCCUUCGGGUUGUAAACUGCUUUUUAUAUGGGAAGAUUAUGACGGUACCAUAUGAAUAAGGACCGGCUAACUACGCGCCAGCAGCCGC